Long non-coding RNA from Fundulus heteroclitus (mummichog), 212 nucleotides. RefSeq lists it as uncharacterized. NCBI's taxonomy places the organism in Eukaryota, Metazoa, Chordata, Actinopteri, Cyprinodontiformes, Fundulidae. The transcript is spliced from 5 exons. The record is from RefSeq and is a predicted model, not a curated record.
GAAACUGAAAAACUCCAGCAAAGACAUUCUGUAACACAAAAGGAAAAGGAAACUGAGGCACUCAAGCAAAGAAUUCAACAGAUUGAAGCCUCUUACCAACAGCUGCAAUAUAAUGCAGAACAUUCUGUAACACAAAAGGAAAAGGAAACUGAGGCACUCAAGCAAAGGAUCCAAGAGAUGGAAACCAAUGAACAGCAGCAACAACACUUAAG